GCGAGAGUGGCGGAACGGCAGACGCGGCGGACUUAAAAUCCGCUCCCGGUUACGGGGUGGGGGUUCGACUCCCCCCUCUCGCACCA
Molecule: transfer RNA, 86 nt
Filed under: Planctomycetota bacterium
Lineage: Bacteria; Pseudomonadati; Planctomycetota
Description: tRNA-Leu
Rfam family: tRNA
About the family: Transfer RNA (tRNA) molecules are approximately 80 nucleotides in length. Their secondary structure includes four short double-helical elements and three loops (D, anti-codon, and T loops).
Source: RNAcentral